UUCGUAGGUGGUCUGUUAAGUCCGGUGUUAAAGAAUGGGGCCCAACCCCAGAGGUGCAUUGGAUACUGGCAGACUCGAGUGCGUUAGAGGUUAGUGGAAUUCCCAGUGUAGCGGUGAAAUGCAUAGAUAUUGGGAAGAACACCGGUGGCGUAAGCGACUAACUGGGACGUAACUGACACUGAGGAACGAAAGCCGGGGGAGCGAAUGGGAUUAGAUACCCCAGUAGUCCCGGCUGUAAACGAUGGAUACUAGGCGUUGUGGGUAUCGACCCCCGCAGUGCCGUAGCUAACGCGAUAAGUAUCCCGCCUGAGUAGUACGGCCGCAAGGUUGAA
RNAcentral lists this ribosomal RNA (332 nucleotides) under uncultured bacterium. Its description in RNAcentral is "bacterial SSU rRNA". It matches the Rfam family "Bacterial small subunit ribosomal RNA", at positions 568 to 898 of the family's 1533-position model. The record is from RNAcentral.